Molecule: unclassified non-coding RNA, 412 nt
Filed under: fungal sp.
Lineage: Eukaryota; Fungi
Description: partial internal transcribed spacer region
Rfam family: Eukaryotic small subunit ribosomal RNA (bases 1-46)
Source: RNAcentral
AAGUCGUAACAAGGUUUCCGUAGGUGAACCUGCGGAAGGAUCAUUACAAAUCCACCACGUCUCUCUCCUUUCGAGACCUCGUUGAACGUGUCACACACAGGAAGAGCGAGCAGGGGAAGAGAGAGAGAGAGAGAGAGAGGGCUGCCUGCGUAUGCGCGCGCAUGCUCUCUUGCUCUUGCUCUUGCUCUUGCUCCUGCUCCUGCUCCUCUCUUCCUUGAACUUUUCUAGUUUGAUAUCAUGUUGGUUGUCAGUAGUGUGUUAUACUCUUCUUCUCCUCCCCUUUUUCCUUUUUCUUCUUCUUGGCUUGCCUGACAAGCCAAGCAAGCAGCGAAAAUGAAAGAGAGAGAGACAAAGAGAGAGAGAAAGAGUGUGUACCAUGUAACAACUUAUAACAAUGGAUCUCUAGGCUCUU